RNAcentral lists this unclassified non-coding RNA (200 nucleotides) under soil metagenome. RNAcentral describes it as "partial contains internal transcribed spacer 2 and large subunit ribosomal RNA". The record is from RNAcentral.
CAAUGCCAAUGCAGCAAUGCGACUUGCCUCACCUGUAGGGUGUGGUGGAAUGCAGAUUAUAGAGUGGAGGUGAGGAGCCUCUUGGAGCCAGAGACGCCGACACAGACGCGAGUCGCAGUCGCGGGUCUUGUCCAAGAAUCCCUACCCAUCACAACACAAUCACCGGUCUCAAAUCAGGCAGGACUACCCGCUGAACUUAA